AAAAUAAUAAUUAAGUAUCGAUAUAUCACAAAUGAUUGGAUUUGAAGUUUCUACCCGGCACCGUAAAUGCACGGACUAUCGAUG
This 84-nucleotide non-coding RNA is filed under the name pig gut metagenome. RNAcentral describes it as "Purine riboswitch". It matches the Rfam family "Purine riboswitch aptamer", at positions 1 to 88 of the family's 102-position model. Rfam says of the family: Riboswitches are metabolite binding domains within certain messenger RNAs that serve as precision sensors for their corresponding targets. Allosteric rearrangement of mRNA structure is mediated by ligand binding, and this results in modulation of gene expression. A class of riboswitches that selectively recognises guanine and becomes saturated at concentrations as low as 5 nM. The record is from RNAcentral.